This 250-nucleotide ribosomal RNA is filed under the name uncultured bacterium. Its description in RNAcentral is "partial 16S ribosomal RNA". It matches the Rfam family "Bacterial small subunit ribosomal RNA", at positions 355 to 622 of the family's 1533-position model. The record is from RNAcentral.
UAACGAAUAUUCCGCAAUGCACGAAAGUGUGACGGAGCAAUGCCGCGUGCGGGAUGAAGCGUCUUCGACGUGUAAACCGCUGUCAGGAGAUAGUAAUACUGAACAUCUCCAGAGGAAGGGGCGACUAACUCUGUGCCAGCAGUCGCGGUAAUACAGAGGCCCCGAGCGUUAAUCGGAAUUACUGGGCUUAAAGGGUGCGUAGGCGGAUGCGUAAGUGUCUUGUGAAAGCCCUCGGCUCAACCGGGGAAUU